CCUUUACGACGAUAGCGGUGGCAGGAGGAGCAGUCGCCGACGAAAAAGGAUCUUUGCUUACGCCCRACGACAAACAUUAACAACCGCCGCCCUCGGCUCGGACGAGACGACCCGCUGAACUUAAGCAUAUCGCUAAGCGGAGGAAAAGAAACCAACCGGGAUUCCCUUAGUAACGGCGAGUGAACCGGGAGAAGCCCAACGCCGAAUCCCGUCGCAAGUAAAAGGCUUCGGGACGUGUGGCGCAUGGGUCGGAGACAGCCGCUCGUUUUCGUCUCGCGUAGUUCGGAGUUCCCUCGAUCGGGGCCGCCCGUGGCGGGUGCCAGGCCCAUUCGGUGCGGACGGCGAGCGACGGUCUUCGAUCCGAGAGUCGGGUUGCUUGGGAACGCAGCCCAAAUCGGGUGGUAAGCUCCAUCCAAGGCUAAAUACCGGGACGAGUCCGAUAGUCGACAAGUACCGUGAGGGAAAGUUGAAAAGAACUUUGGAGAGAGAGUUCAAGAGAACGUGAAACCGCCCAGGGGUAAACGGGUGGGACCGCUCACCGCGAUCGCGGGGGGACUCAGUCCGGUGCUGCCGUAGUAGCCCAAACUCGGGCGGCGGCUUUGUCCGUCGUCAGGCCGUGUCGGUGUGGUGUCGUCGGACCGCGGUGGUAAAACGCCGCGGUUCGUUAGCUUUUGCGCUCGCGCCGUCGACGGAGGAGUCGGGCCGCGGAGAUAUUCGUUUCCCUCUUCGCGCGCGCCUCAUACCCCCCUUCUUCUCUGCUCGGCAAUCAUGACGCGGGCGCUUCGGCGCGACCACCGCACGGUCGGCACCGUACGCACUUCCCCUCCGGUCCGUCGUCGCGACCCGUUCCCGGCGUGCAGGUCGACGCGCGGAGUCUCGUGGGCGGUGGACGAUCCACAUGCCUCUGUUACCUCUCCUUUCGGGGCGGGGUUUCUGGGGCCGUCCGCCGUCGGGCCCGCGAACGUACUGCCGCCUUCUGCCGGGGACGGAGGAACUGACGCGAUCCGUUAUACGUGGCGAGCCGGUUCGUUUUCUCGCUCUCGGGCGGGGAUCGAACUCGUCGGUACUUUUCCCUUGCGCGGGGGGACGUUUACGUCUCUCCUUCGGCACCCCACCGUCUCGGGUGUGCGCCGAGGGUUAAUCACGGCGGGACGAGAACCGGCGCGGCCGCACCGUCGCCUACGCACCCGGUCGUCGCGCAGGUCUUGGCUGACGCGGCGUGCAAGCGUCGUUUCUGCCGCCUGCGCGGCUUGGUCGGGUAGCUCGGUGCCGCUUCUUCCUUUGUUGGAUAGCAGCCGUCCGCCACCUCGGGUCAGCGACGUGCAUCGGCAACCCACCCGACCCGUCUUGAAACACGGACCGAGGAGUCCUGGCCGUUCGCGAGUCGUAGGGGCACCUUUCACGAACCCCGAAGGCGUAGCGAAAGCGAGAGAGCGCGUAGGAGGGCGCCGGUCUUGGAGAGGUGUCGCGGCGAGGCGGGCCGUUGGUCGCGUGUGUGCGGUUCUCCGUCGCGCGUGGUCAGCUCCGUCGAGCCGUGCCCGAUCCUGCCGGUGCGGUGUCGGGCCUUCCUCCGUCUUCGCGUCGUUUCGCUCUGUUGCCUUGCCGUCCUUUCUCCGUCCUCGUGGCGGUGGGGGGAAGAACGGGCGACGGGGUCGGCGUGUAAGGCGGGCGGUCGCAGUUUUUUUCUGGGGACGUCUUCGCCGCCUCGUUUCGCGGGGACGUUCGUUCGGCGCCAGCCUCAUCCUCCUUGCGCCCAUCGGUGAGAUCCCGCGGCUUGAACUGGUUCCAUUUUGUGUCACCGGGUUUAGGCGCUGCGCGCGGGCGCAUCACCCCCGGGUCGGAUCCUUUACCGAGUACGACUCGGCCGACUCUGGCGUAGCGAGCGGCCAGGGACCCGAAAGAUGGCGAUCCACGCCCGGUCGGGAUGAAGCCAGAGGAAACUCUGGUGGAAGUCCGAAGCGCCUCUGACGUGCAAAUCGAUCGUCGGAACCGGGUGUAGGGGCGAAAGACCAAUCGAGCCGUCUAGUAGCUGGUUCCCUCCGAAGUUUCCCUCAGGAUAGCUGGCGUUCGACGUGUCGCAAUUCCAUCCGGUAAAGCGAACGAUUGGAGGCCCCGGGGCCGUUCACGGCCUCGACCUACUCUCGAACUCGGAACGGGUGGAACGGGUCGACUCUCCCGAACUCGGAGCCGACCCCGCCUUUUUCUCGUCGUUCGUCGUCGUCGUCRCCGUUUUCGGACGGUGGCGGCGGCAUCAGGCGGGCGGCGGGAGGAUGACGAAUGCGAGUGCCAAGUGGGCCACUUUUGGUAAGCAGAACUGGCGCUGUGGGAUGAACCAAACGUCCGGCUAAGGUGCCUAACGCGACGCCCAUGAGAUCCCCGAAAGGGUGUCGGUCGAUAUAGACAGCAGGACGGUGGCCACGGAAGUCGGAAUCCGCUAAGGAGUGUGUAACAACUCACCUGCCGAAUCGACCGGCCCCGAAAAUGGAUGGCGCUGGAGCGACGGACCGAUGCCGGACCGUCGCGGCGAGGAGCGCGUUUUUUUGUGUGUGGCGCGCCGAGACGAUGCCGCGACGAGUAGGAGGGCGCCGCGGCGAGCACGGAAGCCUAGGGCGCGAGCCCGGGUGGAGCCGACCGCGGGUGCAGAUCUCGGUGGUAGUAGCAAAUAUUCGAACGAGACCUUCGAAGACCGAAGUGGAGAAGGGUUCCGUGCCAACGGCGGUCGAGCACGGGUCAGUCGGUCCUAAGACGCAGGCGAAAGUCUUCCCGAAAGGCGCCGGAUCCGUUAGUAAAAGUAAAAGUGGUGGUGGUGGUGGUUGGUUAUGACGUCGACUAUAACAUCAUGACCCGCGCCCCAUGACCAUAACAACAGACACACAGCGGCCGGCCUCUCGUCGAAAGGGAAUCGGGUUAAUAUUCCCGAACCCGGACUCGGAGAGGGCCCGGGGGCGCGGCCCCUUCGCAGGCAGCAAUGUCGGCGGAGGGCGUCCGUCGCUUCUCGGGCGAAACCGCGGCGACGCAAGCGAGCCCGGAGACGUCGCCGGGAGCCCCGGGAAGAGUUCUCUCUUCUUCGUAAAGGACCGUGUCCGUGGAAUCGGCUCGUCCGGAGAUACGGAAAAGGUACCUGUAGAGCGCCGCGGCUCGGGCGGCGUCCGGUGCGCUUUCGGCGGCCCUGGAAAAUCCGGGUCCGGUUUUCGCAGCUCUCGAGUCGGUCCGUACCCACCAUCCGCAGCAGGUCUCCAAGGUGUACAGCCUCUCGUCGAUGGCAUCAAUGUAGGUAAGGGAAGUCGGCAAAAUGGAUCCGUACCUUCGGAAGAAGGAUUGGCUCCGAGGACCGGGUCGGUCGGGCCGUGUCCGCGCGAAGCGAGGAACCGGUACGGGGCUGUAGCGUUGGCUCCGUUCGCGCUUUGCGGUGGGGCACAGGGCCGCGCGGCGGUCCACGACACGAUCGGCGGCCGGGCAUGUCGCUUGGUUGUUGCGCGGGCGGCAAAGAAAUGACACGGGUGGGCAAGGGGAUGACGCCUACGGCGUCAGUGGGCGUGGGCGGUGGCGUCCGCCGCCCCUGGCUGCGGAGAGCGGCUGCGGUCGCUUUUCGCCGGCUUUUGGGGAGGCGCGCUGCCCGCUUCCGCGCUAACCGGCGUCGGCCUACGGGCGCCGUUCCCGAACCCUCUCUUUUUCUUUGCCCUCUCGUCGGCCGUUUGCGGCGUGUCUCGUCGGUCUGUGUCGCGGUUUUUCCGUCCGUGGUACCGCCCUGUCGCUACCGGCGCGUCGGUCGGCUAGCAAAACGGCUCCUCGCCCGGGUCUUCGUGGAGCGCCACGGCUUCCAGCCCCUCUUCGGGCGCGCGCGCGCGCGGGUCGAGGGUUGUGUUCGCGCACAGCUCUUUUCUUCUCGUCGUCGUCGCGUUGUUGCUCGUUGUUCGGCGCCUUUCCCGGCGUGGGGGCGUUCGUCCGGCAGCGAACGGUCGACUCGGAACUGGUACGGACCGGGGGAAUCCGACUGUCUAAUUAAAACAAAGCAUCGUGUGGCCGGUCGACCCGUACAGACACGAUGUGAUUUCUGCCCAGUGCUCUGAAUGUCAAAGUGAAGAAAUUCAACCAAGCGCGGGUAAACGGCGGGAGUAACUAUGACUCUCUUAAGGUAGCCAAAUGCCUCGUCAUCUAAUUAGUGACGCGCAUGAACGGAUCAACGAGAUUCCCACUGUCCCUACCUACUAUCUAGCGAAACCACAGCCAAGGGAACGGGCUUGGAACGAUCGGCGGGGAAAGAAGACCCUGUUGAGCUUGACUCUAGUCCGACUCUGUGAGGAGACACGGGAGGUGUAGCAUAGGCGGGAGACGGGCCUUUGUCGGCGUCGGAUGCACGACGUGCCGGGGCUUUCCGUUGCGGUGCGGGUGUGGGGCGCAUCUCCGUUCCGGGUCGGACGGUGGCGUUCGUUGCGGCGGUUAAGCGGUGGGGGGUUGCGUGCGCGUGUGCGGCGCCCGUCGUCGUUGCGUGUGCGUGGCUUCUUGCUGCCGCCGCCGU
This 4519-nucleotide ribosomal RNA is filed under the name Sepiadarium kochi. Its description in RNAcentral is "partial 28S ribosomal RNA". Lineage: Eukaryota; Metazoa; Mollusca; Cephalopoda; Sepiida; Sepiadariidae. The record is from RNAcentral.